AGCAGCCGCGGUAAUUCCAGCUCCAAUAGCGUAUAUUAAAGUUGUUGCAGUUAAAAAGCUCGUAGUUGAAUUUCGGGGUUAGUAGGUUGGUCAUGCCUCUGGUAUGUACUGGUCUCACUGAUUCCUCCUUCCUGAUGAACCGUAAUGCCAUUAAUUUGGUGUUGCGGGGAAUUUGGACUGUUACUUUGAAAAAAUUAGAGUGUUUAAAGCAAGCUAACGCUUGAAUACAUUAGCAUGGAAUAAUGAAAUAGGACGUUCGAUCCUAUUUUGUUGGUUUCUAGGAUUGACGUAAUGAUUAAUAGGGAUAGUUGGGGGCAUUAGUAUUCAAUUGUCAGAGGUGAAAUUCUUGGAUUUAUUGAAGACUAACUACUGCGAAAGCAUUUGCCAAGGAUGUUUUCAUUAAUCAAGAACGAAAGUUAGGGGAUCGAAGACGAUCAGAUACCGUCGUAGUCUUAACCAUAAACUAUGCCGACUAGGGAUCGGAUGAUGUUAAUUUUUUAAUGACUC
RNAcentral lists this ribosomal RNA (507 nucleotides) under uncultured Glomeromycotina. RNAcentral describes it as "SSU rRNA". It matches the Rfam family "Eukaryotic small subunit ribosomal RNA", at positions 569 to 1077 of the family's 1831-position model. The record is from RNAcentral. Lineage: Eukaryota; Fungi; Glomeromycota.